AAGAGUAUCAUAUAAUGGUUAUUAUUUACGACUUCAAAUCGUAAAAUAGGGGUUCAAUUCCUCUUGCUCUUG
Molecule: transfer RNA, 72 nt
Filed under: Starmerella bacillaris
Lineage: Eukaryota; Fungi; Ascomycota; Dipodascomycetes; Dipodascales; Trichomonascaceae
Description: tRNA-Trp
Rfam family: tRNA
About the family: Transfer RNA (tRNA) molecules are approximately 80 nucleotides in length.
Source: RNAcentral